Molecule: long non-coding RNA, 4731 nt
Organism: Salmo salar (Atlantic salmon)
Lineage: Eukaryota; Metazoa; Chordata; Actinopteri; Salmoniformes; Salmonidae
Source: RefSeq, a predicted model, not a curated record
CUCUCAACCAAUGAGGAGAUGGGAGAGGCAGGACUUGCAGCGCGAUCUGCGUCAGAAAUAGAAAGGACUUCUAUUUUAGCCCUUGGCAACGCAGACGCUUGUUGGCGCAAUAAUUGAAUAACAUGGAUUUCUACAUUUAUUUUGCGAUGUGUCUGGUCAGCAUGUCACUUCCUACUGGCGCACACUAUAGAACGGAAGUCAGUCCAGUUGUUAUCGACGAUAUAACGUUACUACCACUAUGUCGCAGUUUGUUUACUAGGUGUCUUCAGGACUUGCCUCAAAUUAAUAUUAAUGUUGUAAGUUACAUCGAAUUGUUAAAUCAGCCUCCGAGACUCCAGCUAGCAAGAAUGAAAAAGGGUUCAAGAUGUAUAUAGGAUGCUACAUAGACAACUAUGAAGGUGAGUACCAAGUCAGUGACCGAUAUAACGUUAGCUAGCUAAUUUAACUAUUAACUGUAGCUAGCUAGUUACUUUGUAAAAGGAUGUAACGUUGACAGAAUCUACCUGAGAAUGUGUGUAUUUUCAUUCGCUUGGUUAAGUUAUGCUUGCUAGCUAAAAAUCAUUGUUAUUCAUGUCUUCUACACAGUAUCUAACAGAGACAUUGACAGGGGAGAUCACCGUGAGGGCUGCCUGUCACAGGUCCAUGAGGAAGAGUGAAAAGCCGCACAGCAUGAGCGCAGGGAAAGGUUAUAGAUAGCUACUAGGGACCUUGUUAAACAUCUCCUGUGGGACACUGUCAUUAUGGUCAAAAUGUGUUGGAGACAGUGUCAACGUUUAAUCUUAUCAGUAGAUAGAUAUUAAUGAUGGGUCCCAAUCCCAGUUUAGAAUUGCCCACUUAACAGGUUAUUUGGUAAAGAUAUGUUGAUGCAGUGUUUGGUAAUUGUGUUACUGAGACACAAUGUAUUCCUGUAUAGUUAGAUGAGCCCCUAGUUAAGAAGACUAGACACUACUAUGUUUAUUAUUCAUGAGCCGCAUCAUUCUUGUUUCUCACUUCAGUCUUUCAUCACACUUAUCUUCACAGAUGGUGUUAAAGCACUCCGUAUCAGUGAUGGUGGUCCAAUGCUCCUGUGUUGCAGGAAGUGCUCUGUGCAAUCAUCUGGUGGCCCUUCUUUACCAGACAGCGCACUAGUUCCGUAAACCUACUAACUCGUGUGCUGAUGGAAUAAGAAGUUCUCUCUACAAAGAACUCAAUGGAUACAUGCCUGACAUGGAUCUUCUCCGUGUCUCAGAAAGAUCAUUCUUUCAACAUGCACUCUCAGCCUGGCAAUGGAUUGGGCCUCCCUAACCUCAUGCGCUGGCAUCUGUGUGCGUCUUGACAGAAAGGCUGGCUGGUAGACAUUGCACGAAACAAUGUCAUCUACGAGAAAGCCCUUAUCCACCAUAAUGGCCAUGUCGGGUGAGUAAGGAAAUAAUUCCAGACUGCUUGAAGAUCUCCUUGUCACUCACAGAUCCAGCAUACAACCAUGACACAAAAGUGACAGCUACAUGUGGUGACAUUCCCAACAUGCCCUUAAAGGUACAGUGUGACUUGUAGGAAGAAAACACCUCACUGCAGUAGUAGUGAAGAUGAUGUCUGGCAGUGGAGUUCAGUGCAGUCGAUCACUACCUGGGUGUUUGGAUAGUCCUUGAACUCAGGUGGCAGGUGGGAUUUGAUGGUUUCCUUGGGGAUCCAUAUCCGUGCUGAUCCAAGCAGACAGUAGAGGAAGUUGGCCCAAGAGAUGAUAAUCCGGCUCACUGUCGAUUGGUGGAUGCUGAACCGAUGGGCCAAAUCCUUCUGCUUCAGACCCAGCGACAGACGAGUCAUAAACAAGAAGAACUCGCCGAUUGAUGGCAGUGUCUGAACGUAAAGAAAACCGUUUUAGUACAAUAUAGUCCUUAUAUUCGGUCCUUAAUAAAAAACGUAUAUAAUGUUUAACAAUUACAGUAAGAUCAAAUAAUAUUCUGUUAAGUAUUUAAAGAAGUUGUCCCUUACUGGUUUUCUUCGAGUAACACUUGUUUCAGAUGGAUUGGUGCUUGUGACUCUUAUAAACUUGGUCUCUGCUGCCCGCUCAAUCAAGUGCCAGAAGGCCAUCAGGUCGGUGUAGCUUGCAAAUCUAAAGACGGACUUUGAAUACCAAAAAAGCUCAUUACUAUUAUUGCCCAUCUUCUCUAGGCAUCAAGUAGCACUAGACAUGACCUAGAUGCUAUUGAUUCCUGUUUUUCUUGUUACUGCAAUUGGUACUGUAAUUCACAGCAGCGAAUUUGUUUAAAUGAUCAGUUAUUUAACCUGGGAAGUGGAGUAAGAACCAAAUCUUAUUUGCAGCAACGACCUGGGAUCAUUUCUGGGGGUUAACUGAAGACUAAUGUAAAGACAAUAUACAUUCAAUGUGCCUACUUAUGCUAAAAUAUGCUAGCCUAGUUUUAAAUAACAAUGAACAUUUUCUUAAAGUUAAGAUGGACUUUGGGAUGAUAAUAAUAAAUAGUAAUGCUGGAUAAUAAUAAUAUUGUAACGACCCGGUAUUGUGUUGUGUGUUAUGGUUCUCAUGGCUACUAGCAGGGGUAAAUAUGUCAGGACAGAGGGAAAGGUUGGGGGGGGUAUGAUGGGUAAUCCCGCGGGAUUUGGAAAUGCAUAAAUAGGGAUUACUGUCUCAUCAUCUUUCUUUUCUGUUCGGAGCCAGACAUGAUAUAAUUGUGUACGUUCGGCAUUUAGCGGCGUGGGCUGUGGCCUGAACAAUAGCCCAGUUUAGGAAUAAACCUGUGUUCUGACCUGCACACCUAGAGUCCGUCUCUUUUCCCUUUAUGACCCAGCCGGGUCAUUACAUUGGCGUCAGAAGUGCUUUCAAACUACGGGAUCGAGACUAGGCGAGUUAGCUGUUCAGUAUAGGCCGGGUUGGCUUUAGCGUGACUCGCAUCUACGGUCAUGAUGCUUGGGGCGAAGCGGAAAAUUAAGGAAGAGUCGGACAAUGUGUCCGUUGUGGGCUCGGGGGUGCCCGGUCGGGAGGGUCGGGCGGCGACUGCCGUAGAAGAGCUGGAGGGCCACAUGGCGGGAGUUAAAUUGUCAGUCAGCAAGAUGGCAGAACUGGCGGGUUUUCCUUCACACCGCUCGAGAGCAGACGUCACGGCGACGGGGAUAUCGACGUCACCGGGUGCGGAAAUGGCGGGGCCUGCUUAUGUAAACAGAGAUGGCAGCGGCCUAUUGCCAUUAGCCACGGUAGCGGCUAAACUACCAAAGUUCAAUGGACAAGGUAAAUGGGAAGUUUUUUUCACUCUGAUGAGACGAAAGCGUUACAGCUUGCCCUGAGGAGGCGUCGGAAUGCCUGUUAACGCUAGCCCCGGACGAGAGGGGCGACUACGGUGCGCUAGUGGAGGCAUUGGGGGGCCGUUUCGGCAGCGACGCGCAGCCCAACAUGCUGCGGAUGGAACUGAGUAACAAAAAGAGACUUCAGGGGGAAUCAUUAAAGGCGUUGGCAAGUGGUAUUCUGAGCCUGACCAGGCGGGCUUAUGCAACUAUGCCGAUUGGGGUGCAAGACGAGCUGGCACGGGACAGUUUUAUUAGAGCGCUCUCUUCCACCGAACUGGGUAAGCAUGUUCAGAUGGCGGACCCACCAUCUCUGCGGGCUGCAGUGGAGAUAGCCAGGAAGAGGGAGCUGAUCUGGGGUAAGGGAGUGAGAGUGGAAGUCGCCAGUCAACCAGAGGUGAGAGCAGCGGUGGCUGGGGUGCCAGGGGUCACGAAACCAGAGUGGGUCGCGAGUUGGGCGGGCUAGUCAAGACUGCUUCGCUUGUCAUGGAGAGGGGCUCCAGGCAGCGUCGCAGUGUCAGCUCAACUCCUAUUGUCUGCUGGGGUUGCGGCCAGCCUGGCCACAUUCAGCGGGAGUGUGGCAGAUUCCCCCGUCACCAGGGAAACGACGGUGGGUUCUCGCGCAGGGGGCAGCGCGGACCCACCGCCCCCGAAUCCACUGUAAGCAAAAGAGGUACCCAGCAGCGCAGACAAGAGGGUGGGGACCUGCUCCCCCAGGGUGUAGCUGCCGCCGUGUUUCCUAGUCCGGUAGUUGUGGUGGGAUGUACCACCGUUGGGGACUUCUGCAAUGUCAAGGUAGAGGGGGUGGAAUGUUUGGCCCUGGUCGACACGGGCUCUACAGUAAGAGGCACUUUGGAGCGGGGGAAUGUGUGUGGCUUCACAACCCCACGCGCAAGAAGGGGCGGUGCCCAAAGCUGGACAGUGCAUGGGUGGGGCCGUGUCUGGUGAUAGAAAGAGUGGGGGAGGUGACGUACCGGGUGGAGGUCCCCCCACGGAGCAGGAAGGUGGUGGUCCACCGGGACCGAUUGGCACCCUACAGAGGGAGGAAAACGGUAGGAAAUGGGAGUGAGGUCUCUGAUGUGAGCCCACGGGAACAGUCUAACGAGGAGACUCUAGCGCAACCUGAGCCUGGGAUGGGGGCUGCUUCUUCGGAGGGCGCUGGAAAUGACAUUGGGGCAGAUGAGUGUUCUGGGGGUUCACCAGUGAGAGCCACGGGGAGGCACAAGAGACUGAUGCGACCUCCGGGUCGUUUUAAGGAUUUUGUUGUGUAACCCUAGGGGCUAGGGUUUAGAAAGGGGGGGGCUAUGUAACGACCCGGUAUUGUGUUCUGUGUUUGUGGGUGUGUUUCUGUUCGGAGCCCGGCAUGAUAUAAUUGUGUACGUUCGGCAUUUAGCGGCGUGGGCUGUGGCCUGAACAAUAGCCCAGUUUAGGAAUAAACCUGUGUUCUGACCUGCA